Molecule: ribosomal RNA, 440 nt
Filed under: uncultured bacterium
Lineage: Bacteria
Description: bacterial SSU rRNA
Rfam family: Bacterial small subunit ribosomal RNA
Source: RNAcentral
CCUACGGGAGGCUGCAGUGGGGAAUAUUGCACAAUGGGGGAAACCCUGAUGCAGCGACGCCGCGUGGAGGAUGACGGCCUUCGGGUUGUAAACUCCUUUUGUCAGGGACAAUGGUGAUGGUACCUGACGAAUAAGCCACGGCUAACUCUGUGCCAGCAGCCGCGGUAAGACAGAGGUGGCGAGCGUUGUUCGGAAUUACUGGGCUUAAAGGGCGCGUAGGCGGUGGUGUAAGUCUGGGGUGGAAUGCUACAGCUCAACUGUAGAGCUGCCUUGGAAACUGCAUUACUUGAGUCGGUGAGGGGAAGGCGGAAUUCCUGGUGUAGCGGUGAAAUGCGUAGAUAUCAGGAGGAAGGUCUGUGGCGAAGGCGGCCUUCUGGCACUUGACUGACGCUGAGGCGCGAAAGCGUGGGGAGCAAACAGGAUUAGAUACCCCUGUAGUC